UACGUAGGGUGCAAGCGUUGUCCGGAAUCAUUGGGCGUAAAGCGCGCGUAGGUGGCCUCAUAAGUCCGCUGUGAAAGUCAAAGGCUCAACCUUUGAAAGCCGGUGGAUACUGUGGGGCUAGAGUACGGAAGAGGCGAGUGGAAUUCCUGGUGUAGCGGUGGAAUGCGCAGAUAUCAGGAGGAACACCAAUAGCGAAGGCAGCUCGCUGGGACGUUACUGACACUGAGGCGCGAAAGCGUGGGGAGCGAACAGG
Molecule: ribosomal RNA, 253 nt
Filed under: uncultured bacterium
Lineage: Bacteria
Description: partial 16S ribosomal RNA
Rfam family: Bacterial small subunit ribosomal RNA
Source: RNAcentral